GACGAACGCUGGCGGCGUGCUUAACACAUGCAAGUCGAACGGAAAGGCCCUGCUUUUGUGGGGUGCUCGAGUGGCGAACGGGUGAGUAACACGUGAGUAACCUGCCCUUGACUUUGGGAUAACUUCAGGAAACUGGGGCUAAUACCGGAUAGGAGCUCCUGCUGCAUGGUGGGGGUUGGAAAGUUUCGGCGGUUGGGGAUGGACUCGCGGCUUAUCAGCUUGUUGGUGGGGUAGUGGCUUACCAAGGCUUUGACGGGUAGCCGGCCUGAGAGGGUGACCGGCCACAUUGGGACUGAGAUACGGCCCAGACUCCUACGGGAGGCAGCGGUGGGGAAUCUUGCACAAUGGGCGGAAGCCUGAUGCAGCAACGCCGCGUGCGGGAUGACGGCCUUCGGGUUGUAAACCACUUUCGCCUGUGACGAAGCGUGAGUGACGGUAAUGGGUAAAGAAGCACCGGCUAACUACGUG
RNAcentral lists this ribosomal RNA (468 nucleotides) under uncultured bacterium. Its description in RNAcentral is "partial 16S ribosomal RNA". It matches the Rfam family "Bacterial small subunit ribosomal RNA", at positions 28 to 507 of the family's 1533-position model. The record is from RNAcentral.